This 552-nucleotide long non-coding RNA is filed under the name Homo sapiens (human). RNAcentral's name for it is "non-protein coding lnc-URGCP-MRPS24-5:1". The record is from RNAcentral. Lineage: Eukaryota; Metazoa; Chordata; Mammalia; Primates; Hominidae.
UUACCCGUGCUUUCCCAAGCCUGGAAGAACUCGUCAUGCUCUUUGUAGCGUGGUGCUUCUGUUGCUCACAGGUCUGCUGCUACCAGCUAGUCCAAGCCACCACCAGCUCUGCCAUGGAGCCUUUUAAUUGGACUCCCUGCUUCCAUUCUUGUCCUUUCUAGAGAAAUCUUUAACAAAAAGCAAGUCAUACUGUGUCAUUUCCUGAUUGAAACCUUCAGCAUCUUCUCUUACACUUUGAGUAAAAUCCAGACUCCCUACCAUACCUACAAAACCUGCAUGAUGAAGACCCUGCCCUCUUGCCUGGCCUCCUCUUCCACACCUCAUUCACGAGCCUGCCUUCUGCUUCUUGAAGAUACCGAGCCUGUGGCUGCCUCAGGGCCUUGGCGUGUUUGGCGUGCCCUUCCCCUGGUUUUCAAAUGAUCCCUCCAGUCUCACAUGUCACCUUGGCAGAGGUGCCGUUCUUCACUGCCACAUUAAAAUUGCGCUUCCCCCUUUCAUAUUCUAAGUGGUUCAGAUUUACUUUCCCGGAGUAGUCACAGGACUGGGCAGUGA